RNAcentral lists this ribosomal RNA (695 nucleotides) under gamma proteobacterium IMCC15226. Its description in RNAcentral is "bacterial SSU rRNA". It matches the Rfam family "Bacterial small subunit ribosomal RNA", at positions 58 to 749 of the family's 1533-position model. The record is from RNAcentral. Lineage: Bacteria; Pseudomonadati; Pseudomonadota; Gammaproteobacteria.
CAAGUCGAGCGCGAAAACACUUCGGUGUGAGUAGAGCGGCGGACGGGUGAGUAAUGCUUGGGAAUCUGCCCAGUAGUGGGGGAUAACGUGUGGAAACGCACGCUAAUACCGCAUACGUCCUACGGGAGAAAGCAGGGGAUCUUCGGACCUUGCGCUAUUGGAUGAGCCCAAGUCGGAUUAGCUAGUUGGUGGGGUAAUGGCCUACCAAGGCGACGAUCCGUAGCUGGUCUGAGAGGAUGAUCAGCCACACUGGGACUGAGACACGGCCCAGACUCCUACGGGAGGCAGCAGUGGGGAAUAUUGCACAAUGGGCGAAAGCCUGAUGCAGCCAUGCCGCGUGUGUGAAGAAGGCUCUAGGGUUGUAAAGCACUUUCAGUAGGGAGGAAAAGCUUAAGGUUAAUAACCUUGAGCCCUGACGUUACCUACAGAAGAAGCACCGGCAAACUCCGUGCCAGCAGCCGCGGUAAUACGGAGGGUGCGAGCGUUAAUCGGAAUUACUGGGCGUAAAGCGCGCGUAGGUGGUUUGAUAAGCUAGCUGUGAAAGCCCCGGGCUCAACCUGGGAACUGCAGUUAGAACUGUCUGACUAGAGUACAGUAGAGGGUGGCGGAAUUUCCUGUGUAGCGGUGAAAUGCGUAGAUAUAGGGAAGGAACAUCAGUGGCGGAAGGCGGCCACCUGGACUGAUACUGACACUGA